GACUCUGGGAUAAGCCUGGGAAACUGGGUCUAAUACUGGAUACUACGUGCCCUCGCAUGGGGGUGUGUGGAAAGGGUUUUACUGGUUUUGGAUGGGCUCACGGCCUAUCAGCUUGUUGGUGGGGUAAUGGCCUACCAAGGCGACGACGGGUAGCCGGCCUGAGAGGGUGACCGGCCACACUGGGACUGAGACACGGCCCAGACUCCUACGGGAGGCAGCAGUGGGGAAUAUUGCACAAUGGGCGAAAGCCUGAUGCAGCGACGCCGCGUGAGGGAUGACGGCCUUCGGGUUGUAAACCUCUUUCAGCACGGAAGAAGCGAAAGUGACGGUACGUGCAGAAGAAGCGCCGGCUAACUACGUGCCAGCAGCCGCGGUAAUACGUAGGGCGCAAGCGUUGUCCGGAAUUAUUGGGCGUAAAGAGCUCGUAGGCGGUUUGUCGCGUCUGCUGUGAAAGCCCGGGGCUUAACCCCGUGGUGUGCAGUGGGUACGGGCAGACUUGAGUGCAGUAGGGGAGACUGGAAUUCCUGGUGUAGCGGUGAAAUGCGCAGAUAUCAGGAGGAACACCGAUGGCGAAGGCAGGUCUCUGGGCUGUUACUGACGCUGAGGAGCGAAAGCAUGGGGAGCGAACAGGAUUAGAUACCCUGGUAGUCCAUGCCGUAAACGUUGGGCACUAGGUGUGGGGGACAUUCCACGUUUUCCGCGCCGUAGCUAACGCAUUAAGUGCCCCGCCUGGGGAGUACGGCCGCAAGGCUAAAACUCAAAGGAAUUGACGGGGGCCCGCACAAGCGGCGGAGCAUGCGGAUUAAUUCGAUGCAACGCGAAGAACCUUACCAAGGCUUGACAUACACCAGACCGGCCCAGAGAUGGGUUUUCCUCUUUGAGGUUGGUGUACAGGUGGUGCAUGGUUGUCGUCAGCUCGUGUCGUGAGAUGUUGGGUUAAGUCCCGCAACGAGCGCAACCCUCGUUCUAUGUUGCCAGCACGUGAUGGUGGGGACUCAUAGGAGACUGCCGGGGUCCACUCGGAGGAAGGUGGGGAUGACGUCAAAUCAUCAUGCCCCUUAUGUCUUGGGCUUCACGCAUGCUACAAUGGCCGGUACAAUGGGUUGCGAUACCGUGAGGUGGAGCUAAUCCCAAAAAGCUGGUCUCAGUUCGGAUCGUGGUCUGCAACUCGACCACGUGAAGUCGGAGUCGCUAGUAAUCGCAGAUCAGCAACGCUGCGGUGAA
RNAcentral lists this ribosomal RNA (1224 nucleotides) under Kocuria sp. P3-14B. RNAcentral's name for it is "bacterial SSU rRNA". It matches the Rfam family "Bacterial small subunit ribosomal RNA", at positions 134 to 1366 of the family's 1533-position model. Lineage: Bacteria; Bacillati; Actinomycetota; Actinomycetes; Micrococcales; Micrococcaceae. The record is from RNAcentral.